AAUUGGUGUCUUCCCGCCUCUUUAUAUGUCUCUGGCUUGUGAGAAAGAUCAGUCUCUAAGGUUUCCUAUGUCUGAAUAUCCAAAAACAAUGAGCAAAAGGGACAGACCAGGGAUGCUGGUGUCCAAAUGCAGCAUCGAUAUUGGUGGUGCUGACAAGCGUUCAUGUAACUCAGUUUCAUCAUUCUAUGGUUCUGGCAUGCAAAUAUCAAUGAGUUCUUAAUUGCCAAUCUUUUGAGCCCUCUGAGGAGUUCCACAGUGUAAAGAGGUUUUGUCUUUGUCUUCAGCCAUCUUGGGUGACCAUGUUUUCUCACUUUUUUGAUAAAAUGCAGCACCAAUGAAUCAAAAGCAAAGGCGAUUCAUUAUUGCUAUGGCUGCUCAAACUGAAAGCGAUGUGAUCAUGAAGAGAAGACGGCCUAUUAAAGAGCAACGGCGUGUUGUUGUUACUGGAAUGGGUUUUGUAACCUCAGUUGGUCAUGAUUUAGAUGUAUUCUACACCAAUCUUCCCGACGGUGUUAGCGGGAUAAGUAGAAUUAAGUGCUUUGACUGCGCAGAGUUUCUAACUGCAUGUUUUCUUUGGCUCAAAAACUACUGCAAUAAAUGGUUGUAUCAACUUUAUUACUCCCAGUCUCAUUAUUAGUUGUAACAGAAAAUUGCUGGAUAAAUCAAGUCUUUCUCACCAUAUGGAUGGGUCUCGCAGAAGCUUUCGAAGAGGGCAGAUAAGUUUUUGCUUUAUAUGCUUCAUUUGAAGGUCUGAAGGUAAGUGAAGUUGCAUCAUCUUGUAAAUUCAGGACUUUUAGAAGGUUCAAAACGGCAAGCAGAGAGUAAAAUGCAUGGAUUUGGUUAGCUUAAAAACAAUCGGAUGAACUAGUGCCCUAGUGUAAAAUUAAUUGCUGAUGCAACAUUCCAGAAAUUUACAUUUGGCCAGUUUCAGGGAUGGAUGGGCCCUAACUACUCAGCAUCCUCCUCUUGUUCAUUUUGCAACGUUUGUGUACUUAAUUCUGCAAAUCAUAUCGUCAGAGGUGAAACUGUAAGCCUCUCACUAUCCCAUUGAGAUAGUAUUUACAAUGCUGCUGCUAGAUCCACUCUUGUUUCAGGAAUGCAUCUAAUCUUUCUUUAUGAAACAUAGUUUCUUGGUAGAAAUGUUCAUGGUUAUGUAAAAAAAUAUUUAGUCAUUAUUUUUCUCCUGACAGUCAUCCUCAUCUUGGGAUAUUUGCAGGACUCGAGGCUUUGUGGCGGCUCCGAAGCACCUAUUACUCCAAAUUUGGUAAAAAUGUAUGUAAACUGCAUUUUCAGUCAAAAGGUUCAUUUGUUCUCAGUCAGAGUCUUAAGCCAAGUUGCGAGUUCUGUAAUUGCGCAGGAUCGCGAUGCACUUGUUCUGGUAGAAGGAGCUGGUGUUUUGCUGCUAGAAGAACUGGGGCAUGCUAAGGAACACUUGCUGCAUAUCACCCCUUAUGCAGCCUGUUUGGAUUUUCCCUUUUACAUGUACAAGGUUUUCUCCAUUUAGAUUCCAUUUUCGUAUGACAGAAAAGAGGAGCAAAAUAUCUGUGCAUAGUUCCUUGGUGGAAGCUGCACUUGUGAUGCUUAUCGCAUAACUGAACCUCAUCCUGAUGGUGAGAAACAAGUCUAUUGAAAACCUAAAUACUAAUUUGACAUUUUACAAAAACAUUCAAAUUUAA
Populus euphratica (Euphrates poplar) is the source of this 1676-nucleotide long non-coding RNA. RefSeq lists it as uncharacterized. Lineage: Eukaryota; Viridiplantae; Streptophyta; Magnoliopsida; Malpighiales; Salicaceae. The transcript is spliced from 2 exons. The record is from RefSeq and is a predicted model, not a curated record.